This 432-nucleotide ribosomal RNA is filed under the name uncultured bacterium. RNAcentral describes it as "partial 16S ribosomal RNA". It matches the Rfam family "Bacterial small subunit ribosomal RNA", at positions 29 to 507 of the family's 1533-position model. The record is from RNAcentral.
ACGAACGCUGGCGGCAUGCCUAACACCUGCCAGUCGCACGAGACCUUCGGGUCUAGUGGCGCACGGGUGCGUAACGCGUGGGAACCUGCCCUUAGGUUCGGAAUAACUCCCCGAAAGGGGUGCUAAUACCGGAUAAUGUCUUCGGACCAAAGAUUUAUCGCCUUUGGAUGGGCCCGCGUUGGAUUAGCUAGUUGGUAGGGUAAAAGCCUACCAAGGCGACGAUCCAUAGCUGGUCUGGGAGGAUGAUCAGCCACACUGGGACUGAGACACGGCCCAGACUCCUACAGGAGGCAGCAGUGGAGAAUAAUGGACAAUGGGCGAAAGCCUGAUCCAGCAAUGCCGCGUGAGUGAUGAAGGCCUUAGGGUUGUAAAGCUCUUUUACCCGGGAUGAUAAUGACAGUACCGGGAGAAUAAGCUCCGGCUAACUCCGUG